This 72-nucleotide transfer RNA is filed under the name Bos taurus (domestic cattle). It matches the Rfam family "tRNA". From Rfam's summary of the family: Transfer RNA (tRNA) molecules are approximately 80 nucleotides in length. Their secondary structure includes four short double-helical elements and three loops (D, anti-codon, and T loops). Further hydrogen bonds mediate the characteristic L-shaped molecular structure. tRNAs have two regions of fundamental functional importance: the anti-codon, which is responsible for specific mRNA codon recognition, and the 3' end, to which the tRNAs corresponding amino acid is attached (by aminoacyl-tRNA synthetases). tRNAs cope with the degeneracy of the genetic code in two manners: having more than one tRNA (with a specific anti-codon) for a particular amino acid; and 'wobble' base-pairing, i.e. permitting non-standard base-pairing at the 3rd anti-codon position. The record is from Rfam by way of RNAcentral. Lineage: Eukaryota; Metazoa; Chordata; Mammalia; Artiodactyla; Bovidae. RNAcentral also lists the same sequence under 1 other name.
UCCCUGGUGGCUCAGAGGGUAAAGAAUCAGCUUGCAAUGCAGGAGACCCAGGUUCGAUUCCUGGGUCGGGAA